CGAGUCAGGGUUGUGAAGAUGUCCUGUUGAUUCCGGAUGUCUCUUAAAUGGUGGAUCCCAGCGUCUUCAGUUCGGUCCCUGGAAAAAGAAAAAAGAUCAUUCCCUCCAGUCCCCGUUGACCUCAUUCUUGUCAGAAUGUAUAGCAUCGUCAAAUUUUUGGGGGAAAGGACUGUUGGCAUAGUGGCCAGUAAUUGGAUUAUAAAAGAGGGAGAUAAGACAUGCAGCUACUGGCCACUCCACAAGCCCACACAGAGGGCAAAGGACAAAGAUUUGCCCGAUCCUAAAACCUGGCUAAAAAGGCCAAUAAAAAUAUUUGUGUGUUAAUGUGUGUUAAUGGGCGACAAAUAAAUAAGUGGUGACAUGCAACACAUUUAAAAGAGUGUAAUUUCUAAUUGUUUUGGCCCACCUGACUGUUUAGAUGAUUGGGAUCAGGCCGUCAGGAGGAACAAGAGGGCGGAGACAAAGUCCUGUGUGGAGACAGGAAAUGAGGACAUAGGGAGGCGCAUCAUAGUCAAACCCCAAAAAUGUAUUCACACCGGUGAAAAGAGAACAAAGAAACGAAAUGGGAAAAAGGCAGGACAAGGUCCACAUUUCAGGACUUCCCUUCCUCCUCCACCCCAGAUAGAAUCCCCCAUUCCACGGCGUAGCGCACUACAAAUAUCUUCACCCCCUGUGACUGAUGACGAUUACUCCCCUCCUUCACCGGCAAGAGACGUUUUUACAGAAAAUGAUGGUAAAGUUAUGCAUGAUGAUUCGAUUGCGUCUUCAUUUGAAACGCCAUUGCCUAUCUCUACUGGGGACGGUGACCGAAGAGAGAGAGAAACCAUACCAAUCUGGGCAAAGAAUAUCAACGGUAAUACAUGUAUUGAACUGUAUUGCACUGUAUGCAAAUGACACCAAAUACUACUAAAUACACUCCUCUCAUCUCAACAUAAUUUUUUUUACAGCCACAUUGGAGGUUCUGCUCCGAAGGCUUGAGACUGUUGAGCAGAAUCAGAGAGAGGCUCUAUUAUUGCUACGGGCAAAUCGACAUGGGGACCCUGGGGAAGCUAGUGUCGAGUUACUGCAGGCGCAAACUCAGGCCGAACUACAGGAACUCGAGGAGCACCUUAAAAAUAGAGAUUUCACAAAAAAAAUGGUAAAUGUACGAAUAAUGGUGAAGUGACUUUAGGCUAUAUUGUACACAUGCCACCAAGUGUGCCACAUGGCCCUGCCAUUGAGCUUUUUUCAUCUUUAGUUCCCUGUUGUUAGCUAAGUAGUUAGAGAUGAGCAGUCCAUCUUCAAAUACCUUAAUUUGGUUCACCCCCCUCAAAAGAAAACACCACCAACACCACAUGAAAAAUACAAUGCAAAUACUUGCCUUAACCAUGGUUGUUUGAUUUCCUUAGAUUUCCCAUCUGAGCCUAGUUGGGGGGUCCAAUCCUGGGGAGUGUGUGAGGAGGGUGCUGCGCUCUGUGGCCUCAAACUUUGUUUGGAGCAGCUACAGCCUUAGGGGAAAGAAGGGGAAGAUGCCACUGCUUGGCACAGCAGUGGGCAGUACCAUCAAACAGGCGAUCAUGAAAUGGAAGCCGGGGCUGGAAGAGAAGGAGGUGGAGCUUCUGAUGGCAGAGGUCUUGAAACAUGCCCCCUCAGCCCACUCCAAAAGUUUGAAGGGUCGGAUGGAACGGCAGGCGGAAGAACAUCCCCA
Molecule: long non-coding RNA, 1687 nt
Organism: Gadus morhua (Atlantic cod)
Lineage: Eukaryota; Metazoa; Chordata; Actinopteri; Gadiformes; Gadidae
Exons: 10
Source: RefSeq, a predicted model, not a curated record